GGGGUCCUGGCUCAGAGGUAGAGCACUUGCCUAGUGUGUGAGGAACUGGGGUUCGAUCCUCAGCACCACA
This 70-nucleotide transfer RNA is filed under the name Urocitellus parryii (Arctic ground squirrel). Its description in RNAcentral is "Spermophilus parryii (Arctic ground squirrel) tRNA". It matches the Rfam family "tRNA". From Rfam's summary of the family: Transfer RNA (tRNA) molecules are approximately 80 nucleotides in length. Their secondary structure includes four short double-helical elements and three loops (D, anti-codon, and T loops). RNAcentral also lists the same sequence under 1 other name. The record is from Rfam by way of RNAcentral. Lineage: Eukaryota; Metazoa; Chordata; Mammalia; Rodentia; Sciuridae.